This 326-nucleotide ribosomal RNA is filed under the name uncultured eukaryote. RNAcentral describes it as "partial 18S ribosomal RNA". It matches the Rfam family "Eukaryotic small subunit ribosomal RNA", at positions 1470 to 1796 of the family's 1831-position model. The record is from RNAcentral.
CCCUUAGAUGUCCUGGGCCGCACGCGCGCUACACUGAUGCAUGCAACGAGUUUAUAACCUUGGCCUGAAAGGUCUGGGUAAUCUUUUGAACGUGCAUCGUGAUAGGGAUAGAUUAUUGCAAUUGUUAAUCUUGAACGAGGAAUUCCUAGUAAACGCGAGUCAUCAGCUCGCAUUGAUUACGUCCCUGCCCUUUGUACACACCGCCCGUCGCACCUACCGAUUGAAUGUUUCGGUGAAGAUUCCGGAUAGGACUUUUUUGAUUUAUUUCAAUUUUGUCUUAAAAGCUAUCUAAACCUCAACAUUUAGAGGAAGGUGAAGUCGUAACA